AUGUAAGUAAAUAAGGGCGCACGGGGGAUGCCUAGGCUCUCAGAGGCGAAGAAGGACGUGACAAGCUGCGAAAAGCUACGGGGAUCCGCAAGAGGACUUGAUCCGUAGAUAUCCGAAUGGGGCAACCCAUCCUACAUAAGUGGGAUAUUCCGCAAGGAAGGCAAACCCGGGGAACUGAAACAUCUAAGUACCCGGAGGAAGAGAAAACAACAGUGAUUCCGAGAG
RNAcentral lists this ribosomal RNA (225 nucleotides) under Belliella filtrata. RNAcentral's name for it is "partial 23S ribosomal RNA". It matches the Rfam family "Bacterial large subunit ribosomal RNA", at positions 1 to 243 of the family's 2925-position model. Lineage: Bacteria; Pseudomonadati; Bacteroidota; Cytophagia; Cytophagales; Cyclobacteriaceae. The record is from RNAcentral.